GGCCUCACAUGGGGCCAAGGGUGACUACUAAAACACGUACCAGUACAUUGCUGGGUGCUAGGUGCUGUACCUAGAGGCUGGGGGAAAAGACCAAGCAGACACGUUUCCUGUCUUUUAGUCUAGUUUGGGGGUAAGUCUCCUACCUGGAGAAAAUGGGAGGGGCUCUGAGGGAGCACAGAGGAGAUGGGGAGAACUGCCACCUCAGGGAGGAAAUAGAAGUUUGAAGAACGGAGAUAGGAGGAUAGAAGAGAUACACCUUGCUUAUCUCUUACCUGCUCAAAUCUCCCUGCCCCAAGGCCACUCCUUUGUUCCAGGCUCUCAAUGUCUUCCAUCUGUAUAACUGCAGGUGAGAAACAUUCCAUUGGCUUCCAUACUUUCAUUCAUAGUCCCUCCUACCUGUCCUUGAUGCUGAUGUCAGGAUGGGUGUUGAUGGAUUCUUCUGUUACUGCCAGGGACCCAAUUCAGGGCUAAGAGGACCAGAAUUCCAGCAUAGGAUGCCAAUGCAUAUAAUCUUAAGGCUUCAUCCCUGAGGACCUUGAGUGCAUAAGUGUGGAGACCCCAGCCCACCCAUCCAAGACCAGUUCUCACCCAUCUCCACCCUGCAAAUGGCUGCCCCCUCAAGUUUCUGGAACUAGUCCUAUAAGAACUACAAAUUCAACCCAUGAGUUUCCUUCCCCUAUUUUUUGCAUUCUUGGUCUCAGGAAAUAACCACCUAUUAUUAAGAUCCACAGGCCAGAAAUGCAAGUGUUAUUCAUGAUUCCUCUUUGUACCUCAUUCUUUACAUCUAAUUAGUACUUGUAUCUUGUUGAUUCUAAUUUCUAAAUAUUUCUAGAUUCAUUUUUCCCCAUCUCCCUUACUAUGAUAUUAAUUUAGCCCUCUAAUAGGAUUUAUUUAAAGGAUCUGAAUAGUCUCUUAAGAAUUCACUGCUAUAAUGCAUUUUUCACCCUAUUGCAAAAAUGAUUGCCCUAAAAUUUAAAUAGUAUCAUGUACUUCUUCUGCUUUUAAUUCUUCACUGGCUCCUUCAUGCUGUUCAUGAUAAAAUCCAGAGUCCUAAACUCAUGGCAAUCUUUCCAUAUCAUGUCCAUUCCAUCUUUGAGCUAAAACAUACCACUCACAUCAUACUGUAGGGAGUGUUUCCCACAAACUACUCCUUUCUCAUGAAGAUCCUUCCUUCCUCUGGUAUCUGGCUACUUUAUCUGAUCCUCCAGAUUUAGCCGAUUCCUCAUCUCUGAAAGAGAUGGCCUGACCACCCCAGGCCCUACUGGGAUACUCUUUGUCAAUGCUUAUUCCAGUAGAAUAUUUUUCACAAACUAUUUUAAUUGUGGGUUUAACUGUAUGCCUUGCUCACUAGCCUGUACUUGCUCCAUGAAGGCAGGGAGCUCACCUUUCAUUUCCUUACCCUCAGCAUUGAGCACUAUGCAUGGCAAUUAGCAGAUAUUCAAUACAAUUGUGAGGAGUGCCAGGGAAGGCACUGGGUGAUAUCAAGAGGGUGACAGAGCCAUCCCCUAUGGUUUAGAGGGAAAUUAGACAAGUGGCUCCAAUGCAGGUGCAUCAUGGUUGAUGCUGAGAAAGCUGGGAGGGAAGUUAUCUCUAGGUAACUCGAAAUCUUUUUAGGUUCCUUAAAUUUGGUAAAAGUCAUAUCUGCAAAAAUGUACUUUUUCUUCUUCAUAAAACUUAGGACAUUCAUAAAUUCCCCUGGAGCCAUCCAUGGAUUUCUGGAGUGCCCCCUGCCUUACAGCAAUCUGCUCCGGCCCUCAUCCAGCUGCCCUCCAUGGGUACAUGUGUUUAAGGAGCAUUUGAGAUUAACUCAAAGGGUGCCUCUUUGCUCCUUCUGUCUUGUGGCUACUCAUGAGGGGGUGAAGUUCACAGAGGCUUUCGGAUGGACUCUUCAGGGCUGAGACCAAGAGCCACCCCUUAAAAAGUGCUGCUUGUCAAUCCAGUUAACAAAUGAGAUUAACAUCCUCAUCUUAAUGAGUGGCUGGUUCCCAGUCUGUUAUUUCACAGGUUGACACUAGAUGUCAGGGAAAGACUUAGCAUUCUAAUUUGCAGGUCUCAACACCAUCCAGCAGAAAGGAAGGCUGCCUGCUGAGGGAAAUCAGAUAUUGAAAAUUGGCAAAUUUCCCACUGUGACUACUGGGGACACCAGGGUUCUUAUGCAAAAACAUCACUACCCUGCACAUGCCCUAUUAGAUAUACCUUUGAUGCUGUUAAAUUCCAUUUACAUGCCCUGGACA
Molecule: long non-coding RNA, 2234 nt
Organism: Myotis brandtii (Brandt's bat)
Lineage: Eukaryota; Metazoa; Chordata; Mammalia; Chiroptera; Vespertilionidae
Exons: 2
Source: RefSeq, a predicted model, not a curated record